Molecule: transfer RNA, 72 nt
Filed under: Bos taurus (domestic cattle)
Lineage: Eukaryota; Metazoa; Chordata; Mammalia; Artiodactyla; Bovidae
Also listed under: 5 other names
Rfam family: tRNA
About the family: Transfer RNA (tRNA) molecules are approximately 80 nucleotides in length. Their secondary structure includes four short double-helical elements and three loops (D, anti-codon, and T loops). Further hydrogen bonds mediate the characteristic L-shaped molecular structure. tRNAs have two regions of fundamental functional importance: the anti-codon, which is responsible for specific mRNA codon recognition, and the 3' end, to which the tRNAs corresponding amino acid is attached (by aminoacyl-tRNA synthetases). tRNAs cope with the degeneracy of the genetic code in two manners: having more than one tRNA (with a specific anti-codon) for a particular amino acid; and 'wobble' base-pairing, i.e. permitting non-standard base-pairing at the 3rd anti-codon position.
Source: Rfam by way of RNAcentral
UCUCUGGUGGCUCAGACAGUAAAGCAUCUGCCUACAAUGCAGGAGACCCAGGUUCAAUCCCUGAGUAGGGAA